CUCCGUUUUAGAUUCAUCCUCCUUUCGUAAUGAAGUAUUUGCAUCUCCCUCUUUAACCAUCUAACCCUCGAUUUUUGGUGCGGAGACAUCUCUUGAAGCCUCAGAGCUUUAUUAUAUUCAUCAACUUUCCUGGAUAAAGUAAUUCGCAGUUGGAUUUCUGGGCCUCCUCACCAAAUAUCUUCUUUUUGAAAUUGCUUAAUUUGUAUUUCUGGUCGUUCAAUUUUUUCAAACAAGUUUCUAGCAUAUUCUUUAUCCCAUUUAUGUAAAGCUGAUUUUUAUAUUUUUUUUAAUAAUUUGAUAACUCUGAUAUCAUGGAAACAUUGGCUUGAGUUUUGCAAGCUCUUCUCACUACAUUUGCAAUUCCUUUGCAAGAAAACCAGAAUUUCUCAAAUUCAAAUGGUUUCAAUUUGACGGACAUUCGGGCUUCAAGCCAUGGAAGAAGUGGAUUGUGACUGGAGUUGAUUCUAGUGAGAUACUGAACUAUAUAGCCUCAGGAAACAUUGCUAUUCAGUCCAAGGUGGUCAAAGAUCUACUCAAUCUUUCCCAUACAUGCCCCACUCCAAGCCUAUUAUUACACGAGAUAUGGGGCUACACCAAUGAACCUCAAAUGAAUUAAUCCAUUCCUUAUAAUAAACUCUUGAAAUUCUGCUAUGUACUUGUUCUCAUUGUAUUUUUACCAUUCUUUUUCUCAUCACUGGAGCUUAUAAUGUCGAAAUCCCAAAUCAGUACAAUUAAAAUUCCAACAGCUUUACCAUUUGCCACCAAAUCCCAAUCAAUAUGUCUUUACUUUCUACAUGUGCUAGCAUAAACUACUCCCAACAUUCAAGGAUUAUAACCAUUGAUGGAAAUUAUUCCAGAGGGAGCUUGCUUAUUCAUUAAAAGUCUAUAUUCUGCAGUUGUUUCUUUUAUAACACCAUGAUUCCACCUUACAAACCUUCAAAUUGAAUGAC
Molecule: long non-coding RNA, 950 nt
Filed under: Elaeis guineensis (African oil palm)
Lineage: Eukaryota; Viridiplantae; Streptophyta; Magnoliopsida; Arecales; Arecaceae
Description: long non-coding RNA (EGUI_LNC023093)
Source: RNAcentral